Molecule: ribosomal RNA, 417 nt
Filed under: uncultured bacterium
Lineage: Bacteria
Description: bacterial SSU rRNA
Rfam family: Bacterial small subunit ribosomal RNA
Source: RNAcentral
AACGAACGCUGGCGGCGUGCCUAACACAUGCAAGUCGAGCGAGAAAGCCCGCAAGGGUGAGUACAGCGGCGCACGGGUGCGUAACACGUGGGUAAUCUACCCUGAAGCUUGGAAUAACUCCCCGAAAGGGGAGCUAAUACCAGAUAAGACCACGGGAGCCUCGGCUCCUGCGGGAAAAGGUGGCCUCUGCAUGCAAGCUAUCACUUCAGGAUGAGCCCGCGGCCCAUCAGCUAGUUGGCGGGGUAACGGCCCACCAAGGCUACGACGGGUAGCUGGUCUGAGAGGACGAUCAGCCACACUGGAACUGAGACACGGUCCAGACUCCUACGGGAGGCAGCAGUGGGGAAUCUUGCGCAAUGGGCGAAAGCCUGACGCAGCAACGCCGCGUGUGUGAUGAAGGUCUUCGGAUCGUAAAGC